RNAcentral lists this ribosomal RNA (253 nucleotides) under uncultured bacterium. Its description in RNAcentral is "partial 16S ribosomal RNA". It matches the Rfam family "Bacterial small subunit ribosomal RNA", at positions 524 to 776 of the family's 1533-position model. The record is from RNAcentral.
UACGGGGGGGGCAAGCGUUGUUCGGAAUUACUGGGCGUAAAGGGCUCGUAGGUGGCCAACUAAGUCAGACGUGAAAUCCCUCGGCUUAACCGGGGAACUGCGUCUGAUACUGGAUGGCUUGAGUUUGGGAGAGGGACGCGGAAUUCCAGGUGUAGCGGUGAAAUGCGUAGAUAUCUGGAGGAACACCGGUGGCGAAGGCGGCGUCCUGGACCAACACUGACACUGAGGAGCGAAAGCGUGGGGAGCGAACAGG